Molecule: ribosomal RNA, 407 nt
Filed under: uncultured bacterium
Lineage: Bacteria
Description: partial 16S ribosomal RNA
Rfam family: Bacterial small subunit ribosomal RNA
Source: RNAcentral
AUUGAACGCUGGCGGCAGGCCUAACACAUGCAAGUCGAGCGGAGCGGCGAAAGGGGGAGUAAUGCCUAGGAAUCUGCCUGUUAGUGACGGAUCAAGUCCAGAAACGUGCGCUUAUAACGCAUACUAGAAGGUGAGCCUAGGGCGUAUUAGCUAGUUGGUAGGGUAAUGGCCUACCAAGGCGACGAUCCGUAACUGGUCUGAGAGGAUGAUCAGUCACACUGGAACUGAGACACGGUCCAGACUCCUACGGGAGGCAGCAGUGGGGAAUAUUGGACAAUGGGCGAAAGUCUGAUCCAGCAACGCCGCGUGUGUGAAGAAGGUCUUCGGAUUGUAAAGCACUGUAAGUUGGGAGGCGGUACCUACCGAAUAAGCAACGGCUAACUUCGUGCCAGCAGCCGCGGUAAUUC